GAUCACCUUAGUAUUUCUUCUGUUUUUCUUGUUGCUUAAUGCUGACGAAUUUUAUCUUAAGUGCAGUUUUUCUGGCAGACUGAUUCUGUUUCCUUUUUCUUUCUGUCCGAGAUGCGGCUGGAUCCAUCUACUGCACUGGAGGAAUAAUGUG
Thalassophryne amazonica is the source of this 151-nucleotide long non-coding RNA. RefSeq lists it as uncharacterized. The transcript is spliced from 4 exons. NCBI's taxonomy places the organism in Eukaryota, Metazoa, Chordata, Actinopteri, Batrachoidiformes, Batrachoididae. The record is from RefSeq and is a predicted model, not a curated record.